UACGUAGGUCCCGAGCGUUGUCCGGAUUUAUUGGGCGUAAAGCGAGCGCAGGUGGUUUAUUAAGUCUGAUGUAAAAGGCAGUGGCUCAACCAUUGUGUGCAUUGGAAACUGUUAGACUUGAGUGCAGAAGAGGAUAGUGGAAUUCCACGUGUAGCGGUGAAAUGCGUAGAUAUAUGGAGGAACACCGGUGGCGAAAGCGGCUCUCUGGACUGUAACUGACACUGAGGCUCGAAAGCGUGGGUAGCAAACAGG
This 252-nucleotide ribosomal RNA is filed under the name uncultured microorganism. Its description in RNAcentral is "partial 16S ribosomal RNA". It matches the Rfam family "Bacterial small subunit ribosomal RNA", at positions 524 to 776 of the family's 1533-position model. The record is from RNAcentral.